CUCCCUUAUUAUUCCCCUCUCCCAAGGGAAAGCACAUAUAGAAGCAGUGUUUCCUCACAAUUUUGGCCACGCCAGCCCAAGACAACACAAGAGGAAGUGCCAGGCCAUUUGUCACCCACCAUCUCUCGGAGCACACAGACAAAUGGACAGUGGUGACACAGCCAGAUGGGUCCUUUGACAAGAGGGAAGCACAGAGGUCCUGAGAACACAGGCAAGGGCCCCAACCUGAACCCACCCUGUGCCACUUCCUACCCUAUAGUGUCUGGAGACUAUUAUCAGGGGGCCCUGGUUUCCUCUCAAAUUCUCACGAAGAAUCUGGCUGUGCAGCUCAUCACUUGGAAAGAAGCCUCGAGUCUCUGGUCACCCUUGGCCGUACUGCAGCUCUGGAGCUAGCAGAGCAAGGUCACAAGGUCUGGUCCCCACCCAGAGGGGCCUGGGCCCUCCCAUAAGGGGAUAAGGGCUGGCUAGAGCUGACUAAGAGCCAAAGGUUAGCGUCUCCACUCUACAAAUGAGGACACAAAAAAGUUAAGGGACUUGCCCAGAGUCUUGGAGUUAUCUCUUUUUCAGAGUGAGUACGAAAAAAAAAAAAAAAAAAAAAAAAAUCAAGUUUCCUGAUUCCAAAUCCUUCAGUGGAUCACACCCCUUGGUUCAGGCUUUCUUACGGCUGUCACUUGACAGGCCUGUCCCUUGGUAAGUCCUCCAGUGGUCAUUGCUUUAACCCCUUCUUGAAACCACAGCCCAUGCCAGCAGCCAGGAGCAGCUCCUUGGUAUUUGUCCUGACUUUUCUCCUCUCUCUUUCCCCCUCUGGCUUCAGCCCCUUUAAUUACUUCUUCCCUAAAUCCUUUCUAGACAAACAAAAUCCAAUCAGAAAUUGUACACAGAGCAAAUUUAAAAUUGGAAGUCAUUACUCUUGCCAAGAAUAAAACUGAAAUAACACUGUUUAAAACCAUCAACAGGACACGCAUGGUGGUGCACGCCUUUCUAAUCCUAGGGGCUUGGGAGGCUGAGGCAGGAUUGGCAGUUCCAGGCCAGCCUUGGUAGCUUAGCAAGACCCCAUCUCAGAAUCAAAUUAAAUGGGCGGGGGGCAUGGCUCAGUAGUACAGGGCCCAGUAGGUCCAAGGCUCCUUUAUUUCUGAAAUUUUCCAUCUUAUAUUUUUCAGCUAUGGUUGACUGCAGGAAACUGCAAAAAGUGAAACUUCAAAAAGUGAAACUUCAGAUAAAGAGCUACUGCAGCAAUUCCUAAAGCAGCUGAGAUGCUUCUUCAAACUCAAGGGGGCUUCUCCAGCUGAGCAGGUGAGGGAUGGGUGCCGUCUACCCCUACUCAUUCCUUUACCUCCAGCUCUAAGCUGCCCCUCUGAGGCGUGUGCUCUCCCCAGUCAUCCUCACCCCCGUUUGGCACAGUCCUAACCUCUGGCUCCUCUCGAAGGCCACCCUCCUCCCGGGAUAGUCCUCCCAGCUGUAGUGCCUUGAUCCCUGUUGCUGUGUUACUGUGUCACCCAGCAACUAGUAGGUGGCCCAUCAUAGGGUCGCCUGAGCGAGUGGUUGACUAUUCUGUUUAUUCUCUUGAGGCUUUUCUGAAAAGAAAAAGAAAAAUUAUAAAUAUUUAUAACUGAAU
Molecule: long non-coding RNA, 1615 nt
Filed under: Fukomys damarensis (Damara mole-rat)
Lineage: Eukaryota; Metazoa; Chordata; Mammalia; Rodentia; Bathyergidae
Description: lncRNA (ENSFDAG00000033112.1)
Source: RNAcentral